RNAcentral lists this ribosomal RNA (1000 nucleotides) under Pseudocyphellaria obvoluta. RNAcentral describes it as "SSU rRNA". It matches the Rfam family "Bacterial small subunit ribosomal RNA", at positions 211 to 1143 of the family's 1533-position model. The record is from RNAcentral. Lineage: Eukaryota; Fungi; Ascomycota; Lecanoromycetes; Peltigerales; Lobariaceae.
GUAUUCGCUCUAAGAAUUUUUUAUCUCGUGUAGUAGUAGUUAAGGUAAACUAGAACUAGCUUUAUUCUAUACACGUAGUCGAAACUGAAAGGUUGAUCGAUCACAAUGUGGCCUGAACAAAGCCCAUGACAAAUGUAGCAGCAGUGAGGAAUAUUGGUCAAUAGCCUAACGGCUGAACCAGCAACUUGGAGGAAUGUAAAGCAAUUGCUGAUUGCAUUUAAUUAUUUUAAUUUGCUUAUUUUAAUUUAAUAUAAUGUAAUUACUACUAAGUAGUUUAAAUUUCUAGGUAGAAUUAUGAUGAUGACAUUAUCUAUCUAUAUGUCUUGACCAAAUUACGUGCCAGCAGUCGCGGUAAUACGUAGAAGACUAGUGUUAUUCAUCUUUAUUAGGUUUAAAGAGUACCAAGACGGUUAAUAAAGCCCAAAAUACAUGAGCACGGGGGACACAUUGACUAGAGUUAUAUGAAAGGAAGCUCUAAGGUACUGUUGAGUGGAGAGUUGAAAUUCUUUCAUACCAGAUGAGUGGCACAGAUUUAUGCGAAGGCAUCUUCUUAUGUAAUAACUGACGUUGUAGGACGAAGGCUUUCGAAGUGAACGGGAUUAGUUACCCCAGUAAUCUAAGCAGAAAAUGAUGAAUGUCAUAGGUUAAAUAGCAGUGUUUGAGAGUAGCAAUACAAACUGCAACACAUUUGGUCUAUAAAUGAAAGUGUAAGCAUUCCACCUCAAGAGUAAUUUGGCAACAUUGAAACUGAAAUCAUUAGACCGUUUCUGAAACCAGUAGUGAAGUAUGUUGUUUAAUUAGAUGAUACACAAAAAACCUUACCACCAUUGAUUUAUAUUUGAAAAAAUACCAUUUCAAUUAGUAUAUGAAUAAUAUCUUUAAAGAUAUAUACAAGCGCUGCACGGCUGUCUUCAGUUAAUGUCGUGAGACUGUGGUUAGUUCCAUAAAAUUAACGUAAACCCUCACUUUAUUUAUAUAUAGAGUUUUGAUCGAAAUAUAG